This 502-nucleotide ribosomal RNA is filed under the name uncultured bacterium. RNAcentral describes it as "partial 16S ribosomal RNA". It matches the Rfam family "Bacterial small subunit ribosomal RNA", at positions 29 to 523 of the family's 1533-position model. The record is from RNAcentral.
AUUGAACGCUGGCGGAAUGCUUUACACAUGCAAGUCGAACGGCAGCACGGGUGCUUGCACCUGGUGGCGAGUGGCGAACGGGUGAGUAAUACAUCGGAACGUACCCAGUCGUGGGGGAUAACUAACCGAAAGGUUAGCUAAUACCGCAUACGCCCUGAGGGGGCAAGCGGGGGACCGUAAGGCCUCGCGCGAUUGGAGCGGCCGAUGUCGGAUUAGCUAGUUGGUGAGGUAAAGGCUCACCAAGGCGACGAUCAGUAGCUGGUCUGAGAGGAUGAUCAGCCACACUGGAACUGAGACACGGUCCAGACUCCUACGGGAGGCAGCAGUGGGGAAUUUUGGACAAUGGGGGAAACCCUGAUCCAGCCAUUCCGCGUGAGUGAAGAAGGCCUUCGGGUUGUAAAGCUCUUUCGGCAGGGAAGAAACGCUCUGGGUUAAUAACCCGGGGUAAUGACGGUACCUGAAGAAGAAGCACCGGCUAACUACGUGCCAGCCGCCGCAGUAA